UAGAUUGAUUUUCGUUCUGAUCCAAACUCAUUUAUUCUGUCAGGACAAAACAACAGCUGGUGUUCUGAUCCAAACUCAUUUAUUCUGUCAGGACAAAACAGGUGGUGUUCUGAUCCAAACUCAUUCAUUCUGUCAGGACAAAACAGGUGGUGUUCUGAUCCAAACUCAUUUAUUCUGUCAGGACAAAACAGGUGGUGUUCUGAUCCAAACUCAUUUAUUCUGUCAGCACAAAACAACAGGUGGUGUUCUGAUCCAAACUCAUUUAUUCUGUCAGGACAAAACAGGUGGUGUUCUGAUCCAAACUCAUUCAUUCUGUCAGGACAAAACAGGUGGUGUUCUGAUCCAAACUCAUUCAUUCUGUCAGGACAAAACAGGUGGUGUUCUGAUACAAACUCAUUAUCUGUCAGCACAAAAAACAGACUCAGAAAUAUUUACAAAAGUCAAAAAGAAAACAAA
Non-coding RNA from Oncorhynchus mykiss (rainbow trout), 456 nucleotides. NCBI's taxonomy places the organism in Eukaryota, Metazoa, Chordata, Actinopteri, Salmoniformes, Salmonidae. The record is from RefSeq and is a predicted model, not a curated record.